Molecule: long non-coding RNA, 996 nt
Filed under: Canis lupus familiaris (dog)
Lineage: Eukaryota; Metazoa; Chordata; Mammalia; Carnivora; Canidae
Description: lncRNA (ENSCAFG00845017180.1)
Source: RNAcentral
GGUAGGUUCCCCCUCUCUUACCCCCUUACCCACAGGUCCAUGUCGCCCCCCCCCCACCCUAAACCUGUCUCUGACCCUUCAUUCUCUCUAAACUCCAAAUGACAGAAAUCCAGUGAGGUAUCAAUUUGCUUUUUAAAUGGAAAAAGGUGAAAAUGAAGGUGUUCUUAUCUCUGACAAGGAGAUGGUGAGUGAGGGAGUAUUAGUAACAGGGGUGAACAUUUGUUCCACUGGUUCCUUUUGUUGGCAUCUCUUUAAACAGCAGCCUGAAUGUCACAGGAGUACUUGAAGCAUUUGCAAUUCCCCACAGUGCCAGCCUUUUUCCUGUCUCCCUGCACUCACCGUGAUCUCCCUCUGCUUGGAAUAUCCUUCCCAACUGGAAGCCUUUGUUUGCUCACCCAACUCCCUUUCUCUUAGGACACGAUGCAGUUGCUGGUCACUACCCUCUGGAAAGCCCCCUCGCCUAUCCAGGAGUCUGUACCUCCCCUUCACACUCCCUCAUGCUUUCUGCUUCUCACUUAGGUAACACCUACCAUAUUGGAUUUUCAUUGUUUAUUUUCAACUUGGCGCUGAACUCCUUGAAGGCUGAAUUUCUAGACCCUUUAAUAGGGUCUACGUGUUUAUGAGGUGAAUUACUGAAGACUCCACAUGUGCUUCUGAUAGAAAUUGAUAUACUUUAUUUCUUCCAUCAGUCUCCAGGCACAAAGGAAUCCUCUCUUCAGGUCGUUGGAGAUGUCCUCCAAGGAUCCUUGAGCAUUUCCCAAUUUGGGUUCCAUGGAACACCUGUGUCAGGUCAGAAGACUUUGGACAGGGCAGCCCCCCGAUGGCCCAGCGGUUUGGCACCACCUUCAGCCUGGGGUGUGAUUCUGGAGACCGGGGAUCGAGUCACACAUCAGGCUCCCUGCAUGGAGCCUGCUUCUCCCUCUGCCUGGGUCUCUGCCUCUCUGUCUCUCUCUGUCUGUCAUGAAUAAAUAAAAUAAUAAAAUCUUUAAAAAAAGA